UGGCGAACGGGUGAGUAAUACAUCGGAACGUGUCCUGUAGUGGGGGAUAGCCCGGCGAAAGCCGGAUUAAUACCGCAUACGAUCUACGGAAGAAAGCGGGGGAUCGCAAGACCUCGCGCUAUAGGGGCGGCCGAUGGCAGAUUAGCUAGUUGGUGGGGUAAAGGCCUACCAAGGCGACGAUCUGUAGCUGGUCUGAGAGGACGACCAGCCACACUGGGACUGAGACACGGCCCAGACUCCUACGGGAGGCAGCAGUGGGGAAUUUUGGACAAUGGGCGAAAGCCUGAUCCAGCAAUGCCGCGUGAGUGAAGAAGGCCUUCGGGUUGUAAAGCUCUUUUGUCAGGGAAGAAACGGUUGUUCCUAAUACGGAUGGCUAAUGACGGUACCUGAAGAAUAAGCACCGGCUAACUACGUGCCAGCAGCCGCGGUAAUACGUAGGGUGCAAGCGUUAAUCGGAAUUACUGGGCGUAAAGCGUGCGCAGGCGGUUAUGUAAGACAGAUGUGAAAUGCCCGGGCUUAACCUGGGAACUGCAUUUGUGAC
This 541-nucleotide ribosomal RNA is filed under the name uncultured Burkholderiales bacterium. RNAcentral describes it as "bacterial SSU rRNA". It matches the Rfam family "Bacterial small subunit ribosomal RNA", at positions 96 to 633 of the family's 1533-position model. Lineage: Bacteria; Pseudomonadati; Pseudomonadota; Betaproteobacteria; Burkholderiales. The record is from RNAcentral.